AACGCCGUCUAUUGGAACUUUUUACCAUAUUCUCCUUCUGAUGUUGAAAAAACAACUGUUGCCAUUCAUUUGUAACUUUUUCUUCCAAACUGUGCAAGGCAAGAUUCACACAUAUGAUGAUCACAAUCGCUGUUCACUUAGAUGGAAAAUAAAAAUAAUUUUUCUCUGGGCUUUGGUGAGGCAAGAUAAUAAAUACA
Molecule: non-coding RNA, 197 nt
Organism: Ciona intestinalis (vase tunicate)
Lineage: Eukaryota; Metazoa; Chordata; Ascidiacea; Phlebobranchia; Cionidae
Source: RefSeq, a predicted model, not a curated record